AUUGUAAGCCGAGGGCCAGAUUGUGAGAAUUGUAAGCCGAGGGCCAGAUUGUGAGAGUUGUAAGCCAAGGGCUAGACUGUGAGAGUCGUAAGUCGAAGACCAGACUAUGAGAGUUGUGAGCCGAGGGCGAGACUGUGAGAGUUGUGAGCCGAGGGCCAGACUGUGAGAGUUGUAAGCCGAGGGCUAGAUUGCGAUAGUACUGAGCCGGGGAUAAGCUUGGUGCUAUCUCUUCUUCUUAGUUUUCUUGUUUCUUUUGUGUUAGUGUUGAUUCUAGUGAAGAGAAUCAAUUUAAUGAAUUAAUGUUUGAUUUACGAAGUUAUUUA
Molecule: long non-coding RNA, 323 nt
Filed under: Physcomitrium patens
Lineage: Eukaryota; Viridiplantae; Streptophyta; Bryopsida; Funariales; Funariaceae
Description: long non-coding RNA (PPAT_LNC013665)
Source: RNAcentral